Molecule: ribosomal RNA, 458 nt
Filed under: uncultured bacterium
Lineage: Bacteria
Description: partial 16S ribosomal RNA
Rfam family: Bacterial small subunit ribosomal RNA
Source: RNAcentral
CCUACGGGGGGCAGCAGUGGGGAAUAUUGCACAAUGGGGGAAACCCUGAUGCAGCGACGCCGCGUGAGUGAAGAAGUAAUUCGUUACGUAAAGCUCUAUCAGCAGGGAAGAAACACUGACCUUACGGUCAGCAGACGGUACCUGAGUAAGAAGCCCCGGCUAACUACGUGCCAGCAGCCGCGGUAAUACGUAGGUGGCAAGCGUUGUCCGGAAUUACUGGGUGUAAAGGGAGCGCAGGCGGGAAGCCAAGUCAGCUGUGAAAACUACGGGCUUAACUUGUAGACUGCAGUUGAAACUGGUUGUCUUGAGUGAAGUAGAGGUUGGCGGAAUUCCUAGUGUAGCGGUGAAAUGCGUAGAGAUUAGGAGGAACACCAGUGGCGAAGGCGACUUACUGGACUGUAACUGACGCUGAGGCGUGAGAGCAUGGGGAGCAAACAGGAUUAGAUACCCGGGUAGUC